GCGUUGUUCGGAAUUACUGGGCGUAAAGGGCGCGUAGGCGGCCUGCUAAGUCGAACGUGAAAUCCCUGGGCUCAACCCAGGAACUGCGUCCGAUACUGGUUGGCUUGAAUCCGGGAGAGGGACGUGGAAUUCCAGGUGUAGCGGUGAAAUGCGUAGAUAUCUGGAGGAACACCGGUGGCGAAGGCGACGUCCUGGACCGGCAGUGACGCUGAGGCGCGAAAGCCAGGGGAGCAAACGGG
RNAcentral lists this ribosomal RNA (239 nucleotides) under uncultured bacterium. RNAcentral describes it as "partial 16S ribosomal RNA". It matches the Rfam family "Bacterial small subunit ribosomal RNA", at positions 538 to 776 of the family's 1533-position model. The record is from RNAcentral.